Molecule: ribosomal RNA, 254 nt
Filed under: uncultured bacterium
Lineage: Bacteria
Description: partial 16S ribosomal RNA
Rfam family: Bacterial small subunit ribosomal RNA
Source: RNAcentral
CACGUAGGGGGCGAGCGUUGUCCGGAAUCAUUGGGCGUAAAGAGCUCGUAGGCGGCUCAGUAAGUCGGGUGUGAAACCCCUAGGCUCAACCUAGGGACGCCACCCGAUACUGCUGUGGCUAGAGUCCAGUAGGGGAGUGUGGAAUUCCCGGUGUAGCGGUGAAAUGCGCAGAUAUCGGGAGGAACACCAGCGGCGAAGGCGGCACUCUGGGCUGGAACUGACGCUGAGGAGCGAAAGCGUGGGUAGCAAACAGG